RNAcentral lists this ribosomal RNA (506 nucleotides) under uncultured bacterium. RNAcentral describes it as "partial 16S ribosomal RNA". It matches the Rfam family "Bacterial small subunit ribosomal RNA", at positions 28 to 523 of the family's 1533-position model. The record is from RNAcentral.
GAUGAACGCUAGCUACAGGCUUAACACAUGCAAGUCGAGGGGUAACGAGAGGAAAGCUUGCUUUCCUUGUCGACGACCGGCGCACGGGUGAGUAACGCGUAUCCAACCUGCCCCCAACUAGGGAAUAACCUUGCGAAAGUAAGACUAAUACCCUAUAAUUUCCUCAGAUGUCAUCUGACGAGGAAUAAAGAUUUAUCGGUUGUGGAUGGGGAUGCGUCUGAUUAGCUUGUUGGCGGGGUAACGGCCCACCAAGGCAACGAUCAGUAGGGGUUCUGGGAGGAAGGUCCCCCACAUUGGAACUGAGACACGGGCCAAACUCCUACGGGAGGCAGCAGUGAGGAAUAUUGGUCAAUGGGCGGAAGCCUGAACCAGCCAAGUAGCGUGCAGGAUGACGGCCCUAUGGGUUGUAAACUGCUUUUAUACUGGAAUAAAGUUAGCCACGUGUGGUUAUUUGUAGGUACUGUAUGAAUAAGGACCGGCUAAUUCCGUGCCAGCCGCCGCCGUAA